This 169-nucleotide unclassified non-coding RNA is filed under the name soil metagenome. RNAcentral's name for it is "partial contains 5.8S ribosomal RNA, internal transcribed spacer 2, and large subunit ribosomal RNA". The record is from RNAcentral.
AAGACUAUAGACCUGCGGAGUACCUGCGGAGGGAUCAUUAGUGAACGCCCUCACGGGCUUAUAACUAUUCCAAACCUCUGUGAACCGUGCCCUUCGGGGCUAUUUUACAAACAUGGUGUAAUGAACGUCAUAUAUCAUAACAAAACAAAACUUUCAACAACGGAUCUCU